RNAcentral lists this ribosomal RNA (497 nucleotides) under uncultured bacterium. Its description in RNAcentral is "partial 16S ribosomal RNA". It matches the Rfam family "Bacterial small subunit ribosomal RNA", at positions 28 to 507 of the family's 1533-position model. The record is from RNAcentral.
GAUGAACGCUGGCGGCGUGCCUAAUACAUGCAAGUCGAGCGAACAGACGAUGAUCUUGCUCCUCUCACGUUAGCGGCGCACGUGUGAGAAACACGUGUAUACCCUACCUAUAAUACUGGUAUAACUUCGGGAAUCGGGAGAUAAUACCGGAUAAUAUAUUGCACCAUAUGGUGCAAUGGAGAGAGACGGCUGUUCGGGAUGUACUAGAUGGAUCUGCGCCGGAUUAGCUAGUUGGUAAUUUAAAGGGUUACCAAGGCAACUAGGCGUAGGCGACCUGAGAGGGGGAUAGCCCACACUGGAACGGAGACGCGGACCAUACUCCUACGGGACGGCGCAGUCGGGAAUCUUACGCAAUGGGGGAAAGCAUGACAGAGUGAGCGCGAGUGAGAUAUGAAGGUCUCCCGAUCGUAAAGCUCUGUUAUUAGGGAUGAACAAAUGUGUACGGAGCUAUGCACGUAUUGACGGUAAUUAAUCAGGAAGCCACGGCUAACUACGUG